AGUGGCGAACGGGUGAGUAAUACAUCGGAACGUACCUUAUCGUGGGGGAUAACGCAGCGAAAGCUGUGCUAAUACCGCAUACGCCCUGAGGGGGAAAGCGGGGGAUCGAAAGACCUCGCGCGAUUAGAGCGGCCGAUGCCUGAUUAGCUUGUUGGUGGGGUAAAAGCCCACCAAGGCGACGAUCAGUAGCUGGUCUGAGAGGACGAUCAGCCACACUGGGACUGAGACACGGCCCAGACUCCUACGGGAGGCAGCGGUGGGGAAUUUUGGACAAUGGGGGCAACCCUGAUCCAGCAAUGCCGCGUGAGUGAAGAAGGCCUUCGGGUUGUAAAGCUCUUUUGUCAGGGAAGAAACACCGGCUCUAACACAGUCCGGGAAUGACGGUACCUGAAGAAUAAGCACCGGCUAACUACGUGCCAGCAGCCGCGGUAAUACGUAGGGUGCGAGCGUUAAUCGGAAUUACUGGGCGUAAAGCGUGCGCAGGCGGUUAUACAAGACAGGCGUGAAAUCCCCGGGCUUAACCUGGGAAUGGCGCCUGUGACUGUAUAGCUAGAGUGUGUCAGAGGGGGGUAGAAUUCCACGUGUAGCAGUGAAAUGCGUAGAUAUGUGGAGGAAUACCAAUGGCGAAGGCAGCCCCCUGGGAUAACACUGACGCUCAUGCACGAAAGCGUGGGGAGCAAACAGGAAUAGAUACCCUGGU
This 700-nucleotide ribosomal RNA is filed under the name uncultured beta proteobacterium. RNAcentral describes it as "bacterial SSU rRNA". It matches the Rfam family "Bacterial small subunit ribosomal RNA", at positions 94 to 791 of the family's 1533-position model. Lineage: Bacteria; Pseudomonadati; Pseudomonadota; Betaproteobacteria. The record is from RNAcentral.